AGUGGUUAUCCCUGUCCUGUUCGUUUUACUCAUGUCGAAUCGUACAGGGUCAUCCACUUU
This 60-nucleotide microRNA precursor is filed under the name Canis lupus familiaris (dog). Lineage: Eukaryota; Metazoa; Chordata; Mammalia; Carnivora; Canidae. The record is from RNAcentral.